GACGAACGCUGGCGGCGUGCUUAACACAUGCAAGUCGAACGGAAAGGCCCUGCUUUUGUGGGGUGCUCGAGUGGCGAACGGGUGAGUAACACGUGAGUAACCUGCCCUUGACUUUGGGAUAACUUCAGGAAACUGGGGCUAAUACUGGAUAGGAGCUCCUGCUGCAUGGUGGGGGUUGGAAAGUUUCGGCGGUUGGGGAUGGACUCGCGGCUUAUCAGCUUGUUGGUGGGGUAGUGGCUUACCAAGGCUUUAACGGGUAGCCGGCCUGAGAGGGUGACCGGCCACAUUGGGACUGAGAUACGGCCCAGACUCCUACGGGAGGCAGCAGUGGGGAAUAUUGCACAAUGGGCGGAAGCCUGAUGCAGCAACGCCGCGUGCGGGAUGACGGCCUUCGGGUUGUAAACCGCUUUCGCCUGUGACGAAGCGUGAGUGACGGUAAUGGGUAAAGAAGCACCGGCUAACUACGUG
This 468-nucleotide ribosomal RNA is filed under the name uncultured bacterium. RNAcentral describes it as "partial 16S ribosomal RNA". It matches the Rfam family "Bacterial small subunit ribosomal RNA", at positions 28 to 507 of the family's 1533-position model. The record is from RNAcentral.